This is a non-coding RNA of Callithrix jacchus (white-tufted-ear marmoset), 723 nucleotides long. The record is from RefSeq and is a predicted model, not a curated record. Lineage: Eukaryota; Metazoa; Chordata; Mammalia; Primates; Cebidae.
UGCUGCUCCGCGCCGGCUCUGGCAGGGAGCCUGGUGGGGUGGCGGAGGAGGAGGCCGUGCCGUGGCGGACCUCGCCGUGUCGCGCUGCCCGACGGAGUCUUGCUCUGUCACCCAGGCUGGAGUGCAGUGUGGCAAGAUCUCGGCUCACUGCAACCUCCGCCUCCCUGGUUCAAGCGAUUCUUCUGCCACAGCCUCCCAAGUACCUGGGACUACAGGCCGAAGUGCAGGGGCACAGUCUUGCCUCACUGCAACCUCUGCCUCCCAGGUGCAAGUGAUUCUCAAGCCUCAGCCUCCCAAAUGGCUGGGAUUACAGGCAACCACAUUAUUGUUGAAACAAGACUACAAAGAAGGAGAAAUGAUGUUGAAGUCAGCACUGGCUUUAGCUAUCAAAGUGCUAAAUAAGACCAUGGAUAUUAGUUAACUGUUUGCUGAGAAAGUGGAAAUUGCAACACUAACAAGAAAGAAUGAAAAGAUGGUAAUCAGAAGUUCUCAAACAAAAAGAAGUUGAACAGUUGAUCAAAAAACAUGAGGAAGAAGAAGCUAAAGCUGGGCCUGAGAAGAAAGAAAAAGAACAGAAAGAAAAGGAUAAAUAGACAAAAUCAGAGAUUCGGUUACUCAUUUGGGGCACCGUUUCUGUGUAAAAGCUGUCCUGCUCUUCCAAACUAAGAAGGCUUUGACUUUUUUUAACUGGUACAGUGGGAAACUAGGACAUUACAUACUGAA